AUUGAACGCUGGCGGAAUGCUUUACACAUGCAAGUCGAACGGCAGCACGGACUUCGGUCUGGUGGCGAGUGGCGAACGGGUGAGUCAUGUAUCGGAACGUGCCCAGUCGUGGGGGAUAACGUAGUGAAAAUUACGCUAAUACCGCAUACGAGCUAUGGAUGAAAGCGGGGGAUCGCAAGACCCCGCGCGAUUGGAGCGGGCGAUAUCAGAUUAGGUAGUUUGGGUGGUAAAGGCACACCAAGCCAAAGAUCUGUAGCUGGUGUGAGAGGACGACCAGCCAAACUGGAACUGAGACACGGUCCAGACUCCUACGUGAGGCAGCAGUGGGGAAUUUUGGACAAUGGGCGAAAGCCUGAUCCAGCCAUUCCGCGUGCAGGAUGAAGGCCCUCGGGUUGUAAACUGCUUUUGUACAGAACGAAAAGGUUUCUACUAAUACUAGGAGCUCAUGACUGUACUGUAAGAAUAAGCACCGGCUAACUACGUGCCAGCAGCCGCCGUAA
This 500-nucleotide ribosomal RNA is filed under the name uncultured bacterium. RNAcentral describes it as "partial 16S ribosomal RNA". It matches the Rfam family "Bacterial small subunit ribosomal RNA", at positions 30 to 523 of the family's 1533-position model. The record is from RNAcentral.